UCCUUUACGGAGAAGCCUCUCUA
Molecule: non-coding RNA, 23 nt
Filed under: Arabidopsis thaliana (thale cress)
Lineage: Eukaryota; Viridiplantae; Streptophyta; Magnoliopsida; Brassicales; Brassicaceae
Source: RNAcentral